This 252-nucleotide ribosomal RNA is filed under the name uncultured bacterium. RNAcentral describes it as "partial 16S ribosomal RNA". It matches the Rfam family "Bacterial small subunit ribosomal RNA", at positions 524 to 776 of the family's 1533-position model. The record is from RNAcentral.
AACGUAGGGCGCGAGCGUUAUCCGGAUUCACUGGGCGUAAAGCGCGUUGAGGCGGCUCCGUAAGUUGGGCGUGAAAGCCCCGGGCUCAACCCGGGGAGGCCGUCCAAUACUGCGGGGCUUGAGGGCAGCAGAGGGAGGUGGAAUUCCCGGUGUAGUGGUGAAAUGCGUAGAUAUCGGGAGGAACACCCGUGGCGAAGGCGGCCUCCUGGGCUGCUCCUGAAUCUGAAGGCGAAAGCCAGGGGAGCGAACGGG